RNAcentral lists this ribosomal RNA (253 nucleotides) under uncultured bacterium. Its description in RNAcentral is "partial 16S ribosomal RNA". It matches the Rfam family "Bacterial small subunit ribosomal RNA", at positions 524 to 776 of the family's 1533-position model. The record is from RNAcentral.
UACAGAGGUCUCAAGCGUUGUUCGGAUUCAUUGGGCGUAAAGGGUGCGUAGGCGGCGCGGUAAGUCGGGUGUGAAAUCUCGGAGCUUAACUCCGAAACUGCAUUCGAUACUGCCGUGCUUGAGGACUGGAGAGGAGACUGGAAUUUACGGUGUAGCGGUGAAAUGCGCAGAUAUCAGGAGGAACACCAAUGGCGAAGGCAGCUCACUGGGACGGUACUGACGCUGAGGCGCGAAAGCGUGGGGAGCAAACAGG